Long non-coding RNA from Dreissena polymorpha, 1411 nucleotides. RefSeq lists it as uncharacterized. The record is from RefSeq and is a predicted model, not a curated record. The transcript is spliced from 3 exons. NCBI's taxonomy places the organism in Eukaryota, Metazoa, Mollusca, Bivalvia, Myida, Dreissenidae.
UUAUGACGUUGGGAAAGUCUCUUUAAAGUGACGUCAACAUUUUUUUUAUUUGCGCGAUUUCGUCAUCACUGAAACAUGUGAACCUGUGUAGCUGUUUUGGACAGUUUUGUAUUUGUGAAACAUCUUUAAUAUGAAAUGACGUGAUAUGGACAAUGAAAUAGAAGAACUGGGGAAUUUAUUGUCCGACAAAUUUGGACGAACUCCAUCGACACUAUCAGUACUUCCGCAUGACGAUGGAAGAGCCAGGUGUGGUCACAAUGCGCACGGGAGUCGGAUGUCCAGAGGUCAAGGUUACUGUGGCUAUGGAUUGCGACCAUAUUUCAUACCAACGACCGCAGAUUGUAGAUGCCAAAGGACUCAGCCGAAAGAGACAAACGUACAAUUUAAGUUGUCAGACCAUAUCUCAGCGAUGCUUACAAGGAUGCUACUUGCCCUUGCCCAGAAACAUAACAACAGUUAUGUUGUCGCAUCUAUGGCAUCUACGGCUAGAGGGUACACACAUCAACAUGUCAAUAUUUACUGGGGAAUGAUAAAUAACGUCAAGCUUAUUCUUCAGUACGUUUUGAAUAUACUUAAAUGUCUGUUUGAAUAUAUUGGUUUAUUUAUAACACAUUUAUAUAACACUGUUUCAUAUAAAAUGAAAUAUGUGUAUUCACUUCUACUUGUUUCUAUAGAAUUCAUGUCAAACGAAGAAUUCUACAUUAAAAAUAAGCUGCAUGAUAAAUAAAUUGUGAACAUGCUAAGAAUAAUUAUUAAAAAAAAUAGAUAAGUGUGAAAUGUAGACAUUAUUAAAGAUUACUCAACUCUUAAUUUUCAGGAAAAGCACUUUUGAGAAAUAAAAAUCUAACAUUUUAACACAAUGAAAGUAUUUUUAUUAUUAUUAUUGGAUAUUGUUGGUUUAUUUAUUGAUUGUGUAAUUGAUAGUGUUUGUUUUGAACAUGAUGUGUGUAUUCCUAUGAAAAACGAAAUGAUAUGUUGUGAAAAUAUAUGAGAUUGGUUUAGAAAAAAAAUAUUUAAACUGUAUGGUUUGCUGGUCGAUGUAAAUAUAAGUGGAUUAUGUUGCUAAGCAACGCAUGUUAUAGUACAGUUUAAUGUUAAUCACAACUAUUUUAGAACAAUAGAUACCUGAUAAUAUAUAUUUAACAAACUAAAUGUGUUCUAAACUUUUAUUUAUUUUCUUUUUUAAUAAGUAUGGAUUUUGAUGAAACAUACAUCUGAAUACGGCUUACUUGAAAACGUUGUUAACGUCAAAACACCUCUGAAGUUAUGAUACUAAAAUAAAAGAUUCUCAGUAAGUUAUGGGGCUUUAUAUUUAAAUUUGGUAUCAUAAUAACAAGCACAGAACAGUCUUUUUCAAUCAAUAGAAAACAAAAAAAUGUUAAGUUUUGUCACAAAUACAGAUUUUUCACGA